This 430-nucleotide ribosomal RNA is filed under the name uncultured bacterium. RNAcentral's name for it is "partial 16S ribosomal RNA". It matches the Rfam family "Bacterial small subunit ribosomal RNA", at positions 29 to 507 of the family's 1533-position model. The record is from RNAcentral.
ACGAACGCUGGCGGCAGGCUUAACACAUGCAAGUCGAACGCCCCGCAAGGGGAGUGGCAGACGGGUGAGUAACGCGUGGGAACAUACCCUUUUCUACGGAAUAGCUCUGGGAAACUGGAAUUAAUACCGUAUACGCCCUACGGGGGAAAGAUUUAUCGGGGAAGGAUUGGCCCGCGUUGGAUUAGCUAGUUGGUGGGGUAAAGGCCUACCAAGGCGACGAUCCAUAGCUGGUCUGAGAGGAUGAUCAGCCACAUUGGGACUGAGACACGGCCCAAACUCCUACGGGAGGCAGCAGUGGGGAAUAUUGGACAAUGGGCGCAAGCCUGAUCCAGCCAUGCCGCGUGAGUGAUGAAGGCCUUAGGGUUGUAAAGCUCUUUCACCGAUGAAGAUAAUGACGGUAGUCGGAGAAGAAGCCCCGGCUAACUUCGUG